CUGUCAGGUCAUACUUGUGUUUCCUGGUUUGCGUAUCGCCCUCAACAAUGACACUUUUUUAUGUACCAAAAAUAAACGUAUUGUUCGAGGUUUAUCAGGGAUUACAGUUCACAGUUUGUCGUUAAAAUCUGCCCGAAAGGCCAAACGCCGGGUGAAACGCCCUCUCUACCUUCGCUUCCUGCUUCGGAGGGGGGGGGGGGGGGGAGGGGAGGGGUCGAACUCGUUCUCGCUUCCUCCGAACAGUUCCGAUCUCGGCCGAUCUCCUGCACCGGCGGUAGUGGUAGUGCUGCUGUUUUGCUGCGUGUCCUUCUCGCGUCUACACCACCGUCCAUCUCUGCCACUUUUUCCAUCAUGGUGGACAUUUUGUUGUUGAUGUUUUUCGCCAUCAUGGGCCUCGUCUUCCUUUCUUACAUCAUCUACUUGCUGUGAUGAAGAUGAUGAAGCGUCCUGCUCAGCCACACAGGCGGCUGGUUGCACAGGCGUACACAGGAUGUAUGUUUUUCCUCUCCUCCUGCUUCACUGGUUUCCAUCAUGGACACUGGGAGAAGAGCCGGGGUCCAGCCAUGAUGGCUUCCCCAUUGGAGCUCAUGUAGGAGGUGAAGAUCAAGUCAGCUGUGAAGCUGUGAGGAGAAACAAAUGGACAAGAAGUGGAAGCCAAAGCCUUUCUGCCUCUCUGUCUCCUACUUGCACUCUGUAAUCACAUCCCUAUUCCUCCUUUUUCCUUAUUUAUUGGGCAGGAUCCUGCAACAAAUGUCAGCCCAAGAGCUCCCACUUACUUGCAAUCAGUGUAUUUUCUAUGCUACUCAAGGUUGUGCAUAAAAAAAAAAGGUAAAGGUGGAGAAAUGUUUCCUCUGCACAAGUCCAAUACAUUCGUAGACAUGGAUGCAGGACGGUUUUGUAGGGUUGAGUGUAAUACUGGUGUAGAAUUUGCCUUUUUAACAACACUGUGAGCUAAUUGUUGGCUCUAACUAUAAUAAUGUGUAGAGUUCAGUUUGUAUCAUCCUUAUGACUGUUUGUCCCACCCCCCCCCUCUAUACUCAUGUUUUGUUUAUUCAAACAGCUGGAGAGCUUCAGCUUCAUGUUGUCAGAGAUGCCUUGGUUGACUCAGCCUUGACAUCAGUGUUAUAUUAUUACUUAAUUCACGUGUUGACAAUAUGUUCUUCUGCUCACUGCAAUCAAAAUUCCCCGUCAGGUUAAAAGGGGAUGUGUGAGCUAUUUAACUUUUAUUUAUUUAUUUGGCUGCAAAUGAUAUCCAUGAGGAGCAAAGGUGUCAUUUCAGAAUUACUUCCACUUGAUGUGCUUCUCAGUUUUAACACUAAACCUCAUAUACAUUAUGUGUUAUAUAUAAAGGAUGUUAACUUUACUGAUGCACUGAUGAUUUACUGAGGUUAAUGAAAGUAUUUCACAUGAUAUGUCAAAUAAAGACGAUUUCAGUAAACCCUGAUUCUUUCUCUUCAAUUCACAAAAUAUUUUCUGCUGACCAUA
RNAcentral lists this long non-coding RNA (1485 nucleotides) under Cottoperca gobio. RNAcentral's name for it is "lncRNA (ENSCGOG00000022389.1)". The record is from RNAcentral. Lineage: Eukaryota; Metazoa; Chordata; Actinopteri; Perciformes; Bovichtidae.